Long non-coding RNA from Brassica napus (rape), 1696 nucleotides. RefSeq lists it as uncharacterized. The record is from RefSeq and is a predicted model, not a curated record. Lineage: Eukaryota; Viridiplantae; Streptophyta; Magnoliopsida; Brassicales; Brassicaceae. The transcript is spliced from 2 exons.
GAAUUUAGAAAGUUAUUUUUAUUAUUAUUAUUAUUUGAAUUUAUGAACUUCAUUUUAUUUUUCUUGAUUUUUUCCUGAAUUUGUAUCAAUUUUUAGAAUUUAUAUUGAAUUUUUAUCUAAUUUAUUUGUUUUUUUAUUAAUUAAAAUAAUCAAAAAAAAUUAAAGCAAAUCUCCACGUCGUCAUCGAUUUUACCUGUUAAUGAACACUAACCGAUAGCAAUUGGGACAACGAGUAAAUUAGUUCCGAUGUUAAUAUAUAGGACUCACGUAUUUUUAUUUCAAAUGAAUUUUCCGGUUCGUAAAUUUACGUUAAGCUAAACCGAAAGUUAUUGGUAAAGAAAAUUUACAAACCGACAAUUCCGAUCAGAACCGUAAACGGAACAGCUUGACCACAUUUGAAAUUGAAAGGAGUGUUCCCGAGAGGAGAGGGGCUAAAAAGAAAAACGAGUGAAUUCAAAUUGGCGUUUCUCAAGCUUUUGACGUAUCUUCCCAAAAAUACACUCAUUUUUCUUCCAAUCCAAUCCCCCACCAAAAUCCCCACAAACCAUCAAUCCAUUGCCGCCGGGAAAAAACCCAAAACGACGUUCUCUUCACCAUUUUCCAUGCUGGGAUCGUCUUCAUCUCUACACCACCAUUAUUACUACAGCUGGAAACAGAAAUCUCUGGGAUUCUUUGUACCAAGAAGAAGGUGCUAAGGACACUUCUCACAGAUUCUAAACGAACGAGUAUGUCAAAUUAGGUACAUUUGGAUUGUGUUUUGUCUCUAUUGGAAUUUGGUACACUUCAUGCUUUUUAUGCUUAAAGGUCUAUGAGAUUUCAGGUAUCUGAUGAUGAGGAUGAUUCUUUUCAAAAACUGCCCAUCUUCAGAUUCCUCAAGAUUAGGCGCUUUGUUUUUUGUUCUGUGUUUGGGGGCUUAAUUCCAUUUGCCAAGUAGAAAUUCAGUGAUAUACCAAUUUCUAGGUUAGAAUAAGCCAUCUUGUCAGUUAUAUAAGUAGUACAUGGACCUUUAUGCCAAAGAAUAAGCCAUCUUGUCGGUUGUUUUUCUCGUCACCAACCCGACCAACUCUUUUUCCGGACGUUGCAUUGUCCAGGAAAUGAAUUGCUCUUAUUCCUCUGAUACCAUUUGAUUCGGUUUUGGUAACUAGAAAGAAACAACAAUUAUAUUAAGAUAGAACGGUGCUUAUAAGCUUGAGAGAUAUUAGAAACUCUCACCUCCCAUGAACAUGGUGAUCUAAUAAUCUUAACUUCUUUUUAAUUCUCGCAGUUUUUGAUACUUGUAUACUGCUAAUGACUACUUAGAAUAAAGGACACAUUAAUCAAGCCCACAAUCACUCUUACCCAUCAACCACUGGUGAUGGGACUUGGCAAUAGCAUACGUAUCAAUAUCUGUUACAGAAAGAUCUCUUGCUUAUGUUGGUAUCUUGGUUUUAAAUAGCCAUCGCUUUGGUCGCCAUGGCGCGAGGCGAGGUGUAGCGGUGACCUCGUCGCUUCAUCAUCUCAAAGCCAAGCGAGGUACACAUAGCGAUCGCUAUUGAACGCUUUAGUAGUACUCCCUCCGUUCCUAAAAUAUCUAUAUUCUAGAGAAAAUUUUUGUUUCAAAAAGAUACAUAUUUUAUAUUUCCAAUGUAAUUUUUGUCAAUUAAUAAUGAGAAAUUGUGAAGUCCAAGAACAUUAAUUGCAUUUUUUUAAGAUCUUA